This 215-nucleotide long non-coding RNA is filed under the name Eucalyptus grandis. RNAcentral describes it as "long non-coding RNA (EGRA_LNC005826)". Lineage: Eukaryota; Viridiplantae; Streptophyta; Magnoliopsida; Myrtales; Myrtaceae. The record is from RNAcentral.
GGUUCGUGAGUGAGCAAUUCAAUAACGACCCAAGUGGAAGACUAGGUUUCCAAUCAAAAGGCAAGUCAAAUUGGCUCUUUUGAGCUCUACCUUACUAUCUCUGUGACAUAGGCAGGGGGUUGCAACCUUUGUGCAAGGUUUACAUUGACAACGACGACCAUGAAGAAGCUGAUCGAGAGGGCGAUGGGAUUGCAAAGUCAAGGCACUAUGGGGAG